Molecule: ribosomal RNA, 1373 nt
Filed under: uncultured bacterium
Lineage: Bacteria
Description: bacterial SSU rRNA
Rfam family: Bacterial small subunit ribosomal RNA
Source: RNAcentral
GAUGAACGCUGGCGGCGUGCCUAAUACAUGCAAGUCGAGCGAACGGACGAGAAGCUUGCUUCUCUGAUGUUAGCGGCGGACGGGUGAGUAACACGUGGAUAACCUACCUAUAAGACUGGGAUAACUUCGGGAAACCGGAGCUAAUACCGGAUAAUAUUUUGAACCGCAUGGUUCAAAAGUGAAAGACGGUCUUGCUGUCACUUAUAGAUGGAUCCGCGCUGCAUUAGCUAGUUGGUAAGGUAACGGCUUACCAAGGCAACGAUGCAUAGCCGACCUGAGAGGGUGAUCGGCCACACUGGAACUGAGACACGGUCCAGACUCCUACGGGAGGCAGCAGUAGGGAAUCUUCCGCAAUGGGCGAAAGCCUGACGGAGCAACGCCGCGUGAGUGAUGAAGGUCUUCGGAUCGUAAAACUCUGUUAUUAGGGAAGAACAUAUGUGUAAGUAACUGUGCACAUCUUGACGGUACCUAAUCAGAAAGCCACGGCUAACUACGUGCCAGCAGCCGCGGUAAUACGUAGGUGGCAAGCGUUAUCCGGAAUUAUUGGGCGUAAAGCGCGCGUAGGCGGUUUUUUAAGUCUGAUGUGAAAGCCCACGGCUCAACCGUGGAGGGGUCAUUGGAAACUGGAAAACUUGAGUGCAGAAGAGGAAAGUGGAAUUCCAUGUGUAGCGGUGAAAUGCGCAGAGAUAUGGAGGAACACCAGUGGCGAAGGCGACUUUCUGGUCUGUAACUGACGCUGAUGUGCGAAAGCGUGGGGAUCAAACAGGAUUAGAUACCCUGGUAGUCCACGCCGUAAACGAUGAGUGCUAAGUGUUAGGGGGUUUCCGCCCCUUAGUGCUGCAGCUAACGCAUUAAGCACUCCGCCUGGGGAGUACGACCGCAAGGUUGAAACUCAAAGGAAUUGACGGGGACCCGCACAAGCGGUGGAGCAUGUGGUUUAAUUCGAAGCAACGCGAAGAACCUUACCAAAUCUUGACAUCCUUUGACAACUCUAGAGAUAGAGCCUUCCCCUUCGGGGGACAAAGUGACAGGUGGUGCAUAGUUGUCGUCAGCUCGUGUCGUGAGAUGUUGGGUUAAGUCCCGCAACGAGCGCAACCCUUAAGCUUAGUUGCCAUCAUUAAGUUGGGCACUCUAAGUUGACUGCCGGUGACAAACCGGAGGAAGGUGGGGAUGACGUCAAAUCAUCAUGCCCCUUAUGAUUUGGGCUACACACGUGCUACAAUGGACAAUACAAAGGGCAGCGAAACCGCGAGGUCAAGCAAAUCCCAUAAAGUUGUUCUCAGUUCGGAUUGUAGUCUGCAACUCGACUACAUGAAGCUGGAAUCGCUAGUAAUCGUAGAUCAGCAUGCUACGGUGAAUACGUUCCCGGGUCU